ACUACGAUGUCGACCCUUCGCCACUUGAGGCUAUAGUAUGUUUCAAGGGUUGGGCUGUUCGCCCAUUAAAGCGGUACAUGAGCUGAGUUUAGAACGCCGUGAGACAGUUU
Molecule: non-coding RNA, 110 nt
Filed under: Macleaya cordata
Lineage: Eukaryota; Viridiplantae; Streptophyta; Magnoliopsida; Ranunculales; Papaveraceae
Description: Bacterial large subunit ribosomal RNA
Rfam family: Bacterial large subunit ribosomal RNA
Source: Rfam by way of RNAcentral